This 484-nucleotide ribosomal RNA is filed under the name uncultured bacterium. Its description in RNAcentral is "partial 16S ribosomal RNA". It matches the Rfam family "Bacterial small subunit ribosomal RNA", at positions 30 to 507 of the family's 1533-position model. The record is from RNAcentral.
AUUGAACGCUGGCGGCAGGCCUAACACAUGCAAGUCGAGCGGAUGAAGGGAGCUUGCUCCUGGAUUCAGCGGCGGACGGGUGAGUAAUGCCUAGGAAUCUGCCUGGUAGUGGGGGAUAACGUCCGGAAACGGGCGCUAAUACCGCAUACGUCCUGAGGGAGAAAGUGGGGGAUCUUCGGACCUCACGCUAUCAGAUGAGCCUAGGUCGGAUUAGCUAGUUGGUGGGGUAAAGGCCUACCAAGGCGACGAUCCGUAACUGGUCUGAGAGGAUGAUCAGUCAAACUGGAACUGAGACACGGUCCAGACUCCUACGGGAGGCAGCAGUGGGGAAUAUUGGACGAUGGGCGAAAGCCUGAUCCAGCCAUGCCGCGUGUGUGAAGAAGGUCUUCGGAUUGUAAAGCACUUUAAGUUGGGAGGAAGGGCAGUAAGUUAAUACCGUGCUGUUUUGACGUUACCAACAGAAUAAGCACCGGCUAACUUCGUG